CAACUAUGGCAAAGAUACAAAUCUUCUGGAAUUAAGAAAGAGAGACUAGUCAGUGAAGAUUGGGGUUUAGAUGUCUAGUCCCUAGAAAGACCUCUACCUGUACUUUCUUUCUAGGGAAGAAUAAAAGGGAAAUAGUGGUGACAAUAGAAUUUCCCAAUUAGCGGCGCCUUACAGUAGAGGAAACAUGUGCCCCUUUUCCUGCAUAAGGCUUUGGAACAUGGCAAGAUCCAUGAUUCUCCUCUGCCCUAUGUUGGUCUGAGGAAUUGAAUAGAACUGAUUUCAGGUGUCCAAACAGAGAUUAUUGUGUGAGCCUCAUAAAAUUCCUGGAAAGCGGAGGAAUGACUUUUUUUUUUUUGGAACCCAAUUGUAGCACCGAUGUCAGGAAAAGCCUUAGUCAUCCUCAGAGAGCUUGAUGAAGGACCUGAGUGGAAGUUAGCCGUGACAAAGCUUGGAGGCUUUGCUGUUGGGACAAAGACACACAGUAGUACAGACUCUUUGAAGAUGUCAAGUGGCCAGAAGCGAGUAGGUUACUUCCACAGUAUACCUAGAGGAAAUGCAUGUGCAGAAAUAGCAGGAGAUAAGGCCAGAACAGUCAUUUGGAACUGGAUCCAUGGAACAUAGAUCAUGGAAGACCUCAAUGCCAAGCUGAUGUGUUUGGACAAGAUCCUUCAGGCAAGUGGGGUGAGGAGGUGCUGAGAGUUUUAAGCCUAGAAGAGGCUUGAUAAAAAUGGUGUUUGAAGAAGACUAGUUUUGUUUUUCUGAUAUUGAGACAACCAGGAAGCUUAAAAAAAACAAAACCCAAACACACAAAUAAGAACAACAACAAAAUGCAGAUUUUUUU
Molecule: long non-coding RNA, 841 nt
Filed under: Pan troglodytes (chimpanzee)
Lineage: Eukaryota; Metazoa; Chordata; Mammalia; Primates; Hominidae
Description: lncRNA (ENSPTRG00000054510.1)
Source: RNAcentral